AUACCCAAGAGAAAUCAAGAGUUAAACAUCAAGAGUUGAAGGAAUCAAGAACAUGAAUGCUCAUUAGGGUUUAUACAAGUCAAGAACUCCUUUAGUGGUGAAGUUGGGGUUUUCUCAAGUGGAAUAUUUUCAUCCAAAGAUCAUUCCCACAUUAUCAAACACACCGCUAAGGUGGGCGGCAUAUACACCAUGUCUAGAGGGCAUGGGCAGACACCACUAGUGGGCGGCAUGAGAUGGUUACCCCGGACGCGGGAGGCCUAGAUGCGGGCUAAUGAUGAUCACACUGUACCGAUAUGGUCGGGCAGCUUACAUAUGCAUACUUGAUAUGAUAAUGUUUAUGAUGUAGACAGGGAGGUGGCCCAGAUUCCUAGGAGCUACUCAGUAGACUUACAGGAGCACUCCAUUAUUCCGGAGGUGCCAUUUUUGAUGCAUUAUUUUGUGUAUAUACAUAUGGGCAUGACGGGGUCCUAUCCCGUCUUUAUGUUUAGUACUCUAGUAGAGGCUCGUAGAUACAUAUGUGUAG
Lycium ferocissimum is the source of this 523-nucleotide long non-coding RNA. RefSeq lists it as uncharacterized. The transcript has 3 exons. Lineage: Eukaryota; Viridiplantae; Streptophyta; Magnoliopsida; Solanales; Solanaceae. The record is from RefSeq and is a predicted model, not a curated record.